AUUGAACGCUGGCGGCAUGCUUUACACAUGCCAGUCGAACGGCAGCGCGGGCUUCGGCCUGGCGGCGAGUGGCGAACGGGUGAGUAAUGCAUCGGAACGUGCCCAGUAGUGGGGGAUAGCCCGGCGAAAGCCGGAUUAAUACCGCAUACGACCUGAGGGUGAAAGUGGGGGACCGAAAGGCCUCGCGCUAUUGGAGCGGGCGAUGUCGGAUUAGCUAGUUGGUGGGGUAAAGGCUUACCAAGGCGACGAUCCGUAGCUGGUCUGAGAGGACGACCAGCCACACUGGGACUGAGGCACGGCCCAGACUCCUACGGGAGGCAGCAGUGGGGAAUUUUGGACAAUGGGGGCAACCCUGAUCCAGCCAUGCCGCGUGCGGGAAGAAGGCCUUCGGGUUGUAAACCGCUUUUGUUCGGGAAGAAAUCCUCUGGGCUAAUACCCCGGGGGGAUGACGGUACCGGAAGAAUAAGCACCGGCUAACUACGUG
Molecule: ribosomal RNA, 484 nt
Filed under: uncultured bacterium
Lineage: Bacteria
Description: partial 16S ribosomal RNA
Rfam family: Bacterial small subunit ribosomal RNA
Source: RNAcentral